Molecule: ribosomal RNA, 567 nt
Filed under: Lipomyces starkeyi
Lineage: Eukaryota; Fungi; Ascomycota; Lipomycetes; Lipomycetales; Lipomycetaceae
Also listed under: 1 other name
Description: eukaryotic LSU rRNA
Rfam family: Eukaryotic large subunit ribosomal RNA
Source: RNAcentral
AAACCAACAGGGAUUGCCUUAGUAACUGCGAGUGAAGCGGCAAGAGCUCAAAUUUGAAAUCUGGCACCUUCGGUGUCCGAGUUGUAAUUUGUAGAAGCAUCUUUUGGAUUGGUCCUUGCAUAUGUUCCUUGGAACAGGACAUCAUAGAGGGUGAGAAUCCCGUUCAUGGUGGGGAAUCCAAUUCUUUGUAAAGUGCUUUCGAAGAGUCGAGUUGUUUGGGAAUGCAGCUCUAAGUGGGUGGUAAAUUCCAUCUAAAGCUAAAUAUUGGCGAGAGACCGAUAGCGAACAAGUACAGUGAUGGAAAGAUGAAAAGAACUCCGAAAGGAGAGUGAAAAAGGACGUGAAAUUGUUGAAAGGGAAGUGCUUGAGAUCAGUCUUAAGGUUUAGUGAUCAGUCUUCCUUUUGGUUGGUGCACUCACUAUUUCUUAGGCCAACAUCAGUUUUGGCGGCAGGAUAAUGACAUUGGAAUGUGGCUCUUUCGGGAGUGUUAUAGCCUUUGUUGAUACUGCCUGCUUAGACUGAGGACUGCGCUUUUGCUAGGAUGUUGGCAUAAUGAUCUUAAGCAGC